AAGACUAUAGACCUGCGGAGUACCUGCGGAGGGAUCAUUAAAAAUGCUGGGGGUUGAUUUUCGGAUCGCCUUCUAACAAUUUUAUUCUGUGCACUGUUUUAUUGGCUGAGAGUCUGACUCUUAAGCCUGCCCUGGGUGUACUCGCUUUUUGCCUCGGCAGAAAAUCCGGUCGCCCAGAUUAUUAUACUAUUCUGACUGAACCAACAAGAAAUUUGUUAACAAUAAACAACUUUUAACAAU
This 240-nucleotide unclassified non-coding RNA is filed under the name soil metagenome. RNAcentral's name for it is "partial contains 5.8S ribosomal RNA, internal transcribed spacer 2, and large subunit ribosomal RNA". The record is from RNAcentral.